Long non-coding RNA from Callithrix jacchus (white-tufted-ear marmoset), 4110 nucleotides. RefSeq lists it as uncharacterized. The record is from RefSeq and is a predicted model, not a curated record. Lineage: Eukaryota; Metazoa; Chordata; Mammalia; Primates; Cebidae.
CUCCAAGCUCGUGUCCAGCAAAAAGCCAUGGGCAUUGCUGAAUUCCACUUUGGGGCGGCUGCUCUCCUUCAUGGGGGACCAGGAAUGCUUCAGAUUGUCCCAGUUCUCCUGGAGGAGGAGCUGAGGAAUCUUGCCAUUUAUCCCCAAAGAAAGAAAAUACACUUCAGAGCUAAACUGAAAAGGUUUUCAAAGAUCAUCAUCUCCAAACCUUUCAUUUGACAGUUCCUCAUCUGCGGAAGAGCACUGGGAGGAGGAGGCACUGAGCACCUGUAGCCAAUCUAAGGAGCCAAGAGAAAUGGGGAAGAUUCCCACAUGGGCAAGUCAAAUGACGUAAAUUUCCUACCUAAUGCAGGCCUACAGCAAGUUAUAUACAAACACAGCCCAGACAGUGUGGGCUGAGCUCUAAAGACAAAGCUCCUCUUUCGGAUGAGCCUGCCAUCAAUUCAUCCUGGCCCACACAGCCUAGGGUGAGCCUUUCCAGAGAGAGAUGGCAAACGGAGAUAAGAAAGGGACAAGGCCAGACAGGCAUAUCGCCACCUUGCAGGGCUGGUGUCCUCCAGAAUUACCCUUCUAGGCAGGGAGAGCAAUGACAGCUGAUGCUUACCAAGUGAUUACUGCAUGCUAGGUAUCGUGUGAACCUCUUUGCAUAGAUAACUUAGGUAACUCUCACAAUAAUGCAAGCAGGGAAAUAUUAUUAUUGUCGCCAUUUAACAGAUGAGAAAACUGAGGCUCAGAGAGUCCAAAUAACUCACCUAAGCCUAAGUAACCUGUUGGAAAGUGACAAAGAUGGAGUUGAACCCCAGGCAAUCAGACUCCAGAAUUCACAUUUAACUUCUAUUUUUUCUGCUUAGCCAGGAGAAAGCUGACUACUCCGGGACAGGAGGCUGCUUUUAAUGAUACAUAAAGACUAAUAAAGCGAGUUCUGAAGUACUGGUCCAAGCAAACAGAGCUCAGCAGAAGGAAUGCUUGAUUCUGACAAGAAGAUGCAGGGAAGUUUUCCUGGAUGAGUCUCAAAAGAGCUAAGACUUGCAUGAGGUACAGGAUUUGGGAAGGAGAAGCUGGGCAAAGACUUUCUAGCACAAGGUGAAGCAUAAGCAAUGGCAAGAGCUGUGAAGUCCACCUAAAUGUAACUCUCGAGAUGAGAAAGACAUCCGCUUUUGAUGGGAUUGAGGGUGCACAGAGUAACAGAGGGAAGUGAAGUGGCAAUGGCUGUCUGAGACUAGAUCACAAAGGGUUGUGAACAACAUGCCAACAGAUCUAAAGUUUCUUCCAUAGAAAAGAAUGAAUCUUUGGUGUUUUUUGAGGCAGUCCAUGGGAGUGGGUAGGGAUCAUUAGCUGGGGAUUAUGGUGUUCCUUUUGAUAGUCACAGAGCUAACAGAGCCAGGCCUAAAGUGUUAGGACUCCCGUCCAGUGCUCAUGUGGCAACCUGGAGCACAAUUUCAAAGACAGAGGUCGAUACACUACUAAGUUUCUAUUGUUUUGACAUCUGUUAGAAAAUCAUAAAUUAUAAAUAACUCAACGCAAAAAUGCUUUAAGCUCUAAAUAAAUAGUAUUUAGAUGCUGUUUGGGACUUCAGAAUUUUAAUUUUGUUCCACUAGGUAGAGGAUGAUUAGCUCAGCCUUGAUCCUGGUCUCUAGCUGACCUUGAGCAAGUAUCAUCUACCUUCUGCCCCUUGGUUUCCUCAUGUAUUCAACUGAAGGAGGAUGAAGAGUUGGGCUUCAGAUCACUUUAUUUCCCUGAGAGUCUAUCUCAUGCCUAUAAUCCCAGCACUUUGGGAGGCCGAGGCGGGUGGAUCAUGAGGUCAACAGAUCGAGACCAUCCUGGUCGAAAUGGUGAAACCCCGUCUCUACUAAAGAUACAAAAAAUUAGCUGGGCCUGGUGGCGCGUGCCUGUAAUCCCAGCUACUCGGGAGGCUGAGGCAGGAGAAUUGCCUGAACCCAGGAGGCGGAAGUUGCUGUGAGCCGAGAUUGCGCCGUUGCACUCCAGCCUGGGUAACAAGAGCGAAACUCCGUCUCAAAAAAAAAAAAAAAAAACUCCUUGAAAGAGAUUUUACCUCCUUUGUCUUCAUAUCCUCAGUGAUUACCUUGAGACCUGAUAAAUGGUAGACUCUGUAAAAUAUUGUGGAAUUCAUGGUACAAAAUAAGUUUUCAACUCAAGACUCUAGUGGGGGCACUUUAUGUCAAAAAUUUAGAAGUGGUGAGCAUUUUUUUAAAUAAGAAAGGCAUAAAACAAGCAGAUCAGUAACCCAGACAGGUUAGUAUUUCCUCUUUGGCUGUAAAAGAUGCUGAGGAACUGAAAGAUAAUGAAAAAGAGAAGACUGAUGAGGAGGAGGCCAAGAACACUGUAAGGUCAAGGGGUAAAACAAAUGUUCAAAAGUAUAAAGGAAGAAAUAUGUGUUUUAGGAGCAUCAGGUAAUUCAGUUUAAUCAGAAGAAUCCAUGUACGUCAGUGGCUCUCAACCAGUAGAUUUUGCCCGCAGGGAAAAUUUGGCAACGUCCGCAGACAUUGUGAUCAUCACAACUGGGGAGGAGGGUACAGCUACUGCAUCUAGUACAUUUUGACCAGGGAUGCUGCCAAACUCAACAACAAGGAAUCAUGCAUUCUGAAAAUGUUAACAGUGCUGAGGUUGAGAAUCCGUGGUGGAAAGAACGAGGGAAAGUUAAGGUAGGAAACAAUGUUAAGGGAGGAAGGUGAAUGUGAGGCUACAGAAUCCAGACCCAAUCUAGAGAGGUUUAUGGUAGAGGGGUUAGAACAUGCACUCUGAAGAAUGCUCCUACCACUGACUUGUAUGGACCUUGGGAAAUUCACUUAACAUUCCUCCUCUCUCAUCUGGAAAACUGAGGUCAUAAUAGUACCUACUUUAGAGGGUCAUGGUGAGGAUUAAAGAGUUAAUGUACGCAAAAUUUUUAGAACAGUGCCUGACACAUAUUCUACGUUAAAUAUAUUAGCUGUUACGCACAGGUUAUAGGGAGCUACAGUAGACACAAGUUCAGAGAGCAGCCAUACAGGCUCCUCAGUCGCUGACAACCUUAGAAAAGGGCUUAGAGCUGCAUGAUUAUCAUGUGACUAUUAUAUCCACCCAAUUAAUAAUCCUGCAAUCAGCUUCUGCUUCAGAUGACACUGCAGGCGGAUGUGUUUGGGUUUGUCUUGCUGUCUGCAAGGAACUCCCUGUCUGGGCUUUGUCUCCUAGAUAGCCACAAUGCCCAGACCAGCAUCCGACUGCCUCUCCUGUUCAGGCACCCCAUGGUUUUAACGAAUAAGGAGAAGGAGAUAAAGAAAGUCAGACAUGAGGACAGAUGGAAAGACGGAAAGGCAGGAAGCCUUCUGUGAAAGCUUCUGCCUGUGAUACACACUGUUCACAGGGGUUCCAAUGAAAGAUGCAGGGGCAUGUUUCAGAGGUUUGUUUGAGCUACUGAUACUGUUCUUUGGGAACCCUUGUUUGUAAACAGAUAUUUCUGCUAAUACUAGGCUUUGUAAGGAUGGACAGAGUCAGGGGGAGGGGUGGGAGUAGGGGUUGGAGAAAAAGGCAGGUUGUGUCCUAGAGCCUUAGACCAUGUGUUUGCUGUUGAGAAUACAAAGACCUCGCUGUAUAAAAUGAAAAUGCUUGUUUUCCAAGGCGAGUGGGAAUAUGAUAGGUACAUGUCGAAAUGCUUUAGAAACUGAAACAACCCCAUGCCACGACGGCAUUCUGCUACAUUAUACAUCCAGGGGCAUACACAAAACAUGAAGGCUCCUCAUCACGAAAAGAGGGCUUUGGGAGGUUGUGGGAAAAGAGAGUCCCAGGAGCUGAGUGACUGGCAGCUCCCUCCCUCUGGUCUCACCUAAGCCUGCCCUUUCCCAAAGAGAGGCCUCCAUUUCAGACUUUCUAUUGGUUUUCCAGUACCUGCUAACCUAAGGGUAGAAACUGUUUAAAAUAUUACUGUUGAUAAAAGAGUCUCUAGUAGCAUAGUUCCAGACUCAGAGCACUACCAGGAAUAUUUAUGAUGAUAGAACUAUGCAGGCAGAAUACUUUAACUUUUUCAAAGUAGUUUUCAACGAGUGUUUUUCACAUUGUACUCUACGGAAGCACAAGGUUCACUGAAGACAUCUCGGGUUUUUUUUUUUUUUUUUU